Molecule: ribosomal RNA, 406 nt
Filed under: uncultured bacterium
Lineage: Bacteria
Description: partial 16S ribosomal RNA
Rfam family: Bacterial small subunit ribosomal RNA
Source: RNAcentral
AUUGAACGCUGGCGGCAGGCCUAACACAUGCAAGUCGAACGAGUGGCGGACGGGUGAGUAAUGUCUGGGAAACUGCCUGAUGGAGGGGGAUAACUACUGGAAACGGUAGCUAAUACCGCAUACCAGCGGGUGUGCCCAGAUGGGUUUGGCUGGUAGGUGGGGUAAAGGCUUACCUAGGCGACGAUCCCUAGCUGGUCUGAGAGGAUGAUCAGCCACACUGGGACUGAGACACGGCCCAGACUCCUACGGGAGGCAGCAGUGGGGAAUAUUGCACAAUGGGCGCAAGCCUGAUGCAGCCAUGCCGCGUGUAUGAAGAAGGCCGUCGGGUUGUAAAGUACUUUCAGUCGGGAGGCGUUACCCACAGAAGAAGCACCGGCUAACUCCGUGCCAGCAGCCGCGGUAAUUC